This 3155-nucleotide long non-coding RNA is filed under the name Sus scrofa (pig). RNAcentral's name for it is "lncRNA (ENSSSCG00030070200.1)". The record is from RNAcentral. Lineage: Eukaryota; Metazoa; Chordata; Mammalia; Artiodactyla; Suidae.
GAGCAAGUGGGCAUCGCAUCCACUCUAAGGGGAAGAAGUCAUCGCUUUAGUGCCCAAUGCCCAGGGAUCCUACUGCGGUGCACAGUUUAAAAUGUUCACAACUUAAAUCAUCAUUCCUCCACCAAGUUUAAAUUCAAAUGUGAAUUUGAAAGUUUCCUAAGUGUUCAGCUUUCAGAGAAUUCUUUUAUUUUGUAGUCAGUUGUAAAGCAUUUAGACCGUAACUUGCUUUCUCCAAAGCAGACUUUGAUUCUCUAACCUCUGGAGACUAAAAAGAACAGCCUGAAGGUGUUUGGAUCAGAGGCUACACCCCCUUAUAUUUUAGGAAGAAGCCUGUUUGUAACUCUGCCUCUUCAUACUUGACCUGAGUUUCCUUUUCACUAGCCACCUCCUAGGACAGCGAUGGCCACUGGCUUUGUCACCUGUAGAUCUGGCCACAUUCAGCUCUCCUUAAUGGCCUUAGCUCUCUCAACUAGUCGAGGUCGGGGACGUGCCAGAGGGCACAUAGUAAACCUGACGGACUAGAACUUUUGACUUCGGGUCCCCACGUCAGCCAAACACAGAUACAGAGAUCUUUGCUUUUGUGGAUCCUGUGUUCAGAGUGGCCUUUAUCUUGACCUCAGUUUUUGGACUUGACUUGAGCACUCUAUAGGAAAUUGCUGAAGUCAGACCAGUUUUCUUUGGUGUCCUUGUAAGGUGGCGUGCCCGGUCUUGAACACCCUGUGGGUGAGUAACCUUAAGUGAGCUGCCAGUACUAGAAGCUUCCAGGAAGAAUUGUAACUAGUAUGCUGCAUUUGAAGCACUUUGACAUGUACAUUUUAAGUGAUGGUUUUAACAGUAAAAACGGUGUUAAAUUAAUCACUGUGAAACUUGAAAGUGUGAUGGCCUAAAGUACAUUUUAGGAAGCUUAAGUAAAUUUCUGAUUUUCCUGUAUUAAUUAUGUAAUCCAUGUGAUUUGUAUGUUUUACUUUUCAUCUUUGACAGUGGUACAAAUGACUGACAUGUUGGCAGGUGGUUGGUUCCUUUAGGGCCUGUGGUAAAUCAUGGUUGUCUGACUUGUCCACAGAAAGUGGCACUCACUGUGUUUACUUUUUCCUUUGUGUGGAGCCAUGGGAAUUGGAUUUACUGGCUAAUUCAUUACCAGUGUUUCUAUGGUGCAAAAUAAACGUAACCUUUUAAACCUGCAUGCUAGUAAUGCUUUGCUUUUUAAUAAAUAUGCAAGAGAUAAUAAUCUAGCUGAUUGUUUUUAAGCAGAGACCUGCUGUUUUUACAGGCAGAUCUUAAAUGAGCUAAUAUUUUGGGUAGCGAAAGAAGUUUUGCCAUUUGUAGCCUUUUUCACAGGUGGCCUGAGUGAGGGGGUUGUGUUGCAUUUGAUCAGAAAGGCCAGGUUCCCAGAAUUGGAAAAUGGCACACAGACUGAUUUUUAGAAUAUCUUAAGAAGGGCUUGUCUUGAGGAAAAGUCCAUUUGGACAGAAGCGUUAUCUCAUCUCCUGUGGCCAUUCGCAGUAUCUUAACCUUCGUGGACUCAUUCUUCGAAAGCCGGGUUAAAUCAGAGGGUAGUAUUUUUAAAGCUUGUCCAUUGGAUCAAGGCCAGAGUACCUGAUGCUACAUUUUAGAGACAGUCAGUAUUGAGGAUAUAAGGAGUGGUGAACAGCUCGUAGGCUAAAGUCUUCUUGAGCAGUUUCUGUGGGUAACAAUUAGAAUUGGAAUUGAUUUUGUUUUUUUAUUAAAACAAUAUUAACAUUUUUUGGGAGCAUUUGCAUAACUUAUCCCAUCAGAGCAGCCAUUCAGGAGACCAAGACCCAGCUACACGUAAUGAUUUGCUCUUUCUGGAAUGUGCCAAGAAAGAAGAAUUCAGUAUUAAAAUAUUAAACUCCAAAUUUCAAUUUUUUUUUUUUUAAAGGAGCAUUUCUUCUGGUUUGAAAGGGGAAGGCAGUGAACCAUGGCUGCCGUGUCAACUCCCCGCCGCCUGCCUUCUCUUCGUCCCCUCACGUCUAACGUAAUAGAUUCAAUUUGUCUCCAAUUGUAGGAAAAGAAAUCGAUACUUUCCUGAGUAAGGUUUCAUGCCCUGGGACUAAGAAUAGGUGGCAGGAAUCACAGUGGAAUCAAUUAUUGAGUUGUUUAGCUGGGGCCUGUCGCAGUUUGCUUUCUUUAGUUUUCUGAAACAAAAGGACGAUUCCAUCCCUUCUCAGGUACCUAGAAACAGUCCCCCUUAAGCAACUGGAAUACUUUUGCUCUAAGUGGAAUAUAUUAGAGAAGAAGCUGGAGAGGAGCACAGAGUCUUCCCUUGCAAGUAGUUUAAUGGAACAUGUUAGUAUUUGGUCUGUCUAGGACUUGCUGUGUUCAUAGCAAAUCAUGUAACAUUUAUUUUAUCUGGUUCUGUAUGGUAUGUGUAUAUAUAUAUACAUAUUUAAUAUGUAUCCGUAUGUUCUCUGUGCGUAUAUAUGUAUACUGUACCCCGAUAUACAUGCAGUCUCCUCUUGAUUAUCAGCAAGACGGUAGGCCUGCACCAGACUGUUUCUUCCUGUUGGCUUAAUCUGCAUGUCACCCGUUACUCUGUGAAGCCUCUUUCUUAUCUGGAGCCACAGUCUUUCCUAUUCUCAGUUCAUCUCAGUCCCCAGGAAAGGCCCUGGACAUCUGUCCCUUUCCACUUGCCUUUCACCAGGGACUAUGUGAGCCAGAAAGACAGCUUUUGAGAAAGAUGGCUGCUUCCUCCAGAGUUGAGGCUUCUGGGACUGAAUGAUGAUGGGACCCUUUCUGAGGCGUUCCAGAAGGCAGCCCCUGGAGCAGCUGUGCUCAUGGGCUUGCUGGGGGGAAAAAAUCCAGCUCUUGUGGGAAACGGGGCUGCACAAUUUGCUUCACUUCCUCGGCUGGAAUGUCGUGAAGCCUCUGAGGAUCUGAUGUGCAGACAGGGUACAGUUGUGUGUUUCCCUGGGGGCUUUGUAUCGGCAUUCCUGUUCCCCGUUGCUCGCCCAGAUAAUCAAAACCUGACUGUUUCUUGCCACUGGAUUCUGGAAGCCUUGCCCUUUCAACUGGAUGUAUGUUUGUUUCUGCUGCUGUGAAACCCAAAAGUAAAAGUAGGCUUUAAUUUAAAAUUGUUUAAUUCUAUUGAUAAAUAUUUAUUGUAAUAAAAAUAAAGAGUAAAUAAUUUUUAAAUC